RNAcentral lists this long non-coding RNA (580 nucleotides) under Lathyrus oleraceus (garden pea). Its description in RNAcentral is "Pisum sativum (pea) long non-coding RNA (PSAT_LNC000738)". The record is from RNAcentral. Lineage: Eukaryota; Viridiplantae; Streptophyta; Magnoliopsida; Fabales; Fabaceae.
UUAUUUCCAUUCAAGACCAUUUUCACUAUAAAAACAUUCAAACAUUCAUUACAACAUACAAAAAUCAAGUCUAUAUAAAUUACAUCAUUUUUGACAUAGAGUUGACUUUUGACCUACGGUUGAUUUUUUGGACUCACAGUUAACCAAAGUCAACUACCUAUCUUAAGACCUUUCUCCUUUACUUACAAGCUAUUCAAGAUUUCUUCACAUGCCAUAAACUUCUUCAUAAUUCACACCUUGAAUCCAUGUCAUGCCAUGUUCCAUGUCUUGCCAUUUGAUAACCUUUACCAAAUUCUUCAUGAUCCUUGCUAUAUCUCAAGCCUAACAAUCCAUCCCACAGCAAGUGAAAAUGAAUUAGCAUUAUGAAACUCAACCCAUACAAAUCAAAGCAUGAAUAUGACCAAUCAUCAACCUCGGGUGGAUAGCCGCUAAUAUGUUUGUCAUAGUUAUUACUAGUGAUUAGGCUAUUACCAAAAUUUCCAUCAUUCGGUUUAUUUGAUAAUCUCUUAAACAUUAUAGUAAUAGCCAAUCAAAAUUCACAAAACUAUUUCAUAAUAUAAUAAUAAUUGCUAAAUUUCUA